UUGCUGGUCAGUAGAAGAAAAUAAUUACAAGAUGGAUGGCCUUAUUCAAGAGUUACAUCCAAUUAGAAAAGGCUUAAUUGAGAUUUCACCAGUUGAUCUGUCAUCUGUUGAUUGUGUGGAGAAAUUGCAGUCAGUUUUAUCAGAAUGUCAACAAAUUCUGCAAAAUCCUGGUAAUCAACAAGAAGAUGAGAAUGUUUUAUCUUUGUUGAAGUAUGGCUUAGAAAACUUGAUCAUUGAAAGCUUAGAAGCAUUUGUUGACCAAUCAGAUGCUGUAGAUGAAAGCAAUGAAAGUCUUCUUGAUGUUAUUUUAGAGACUAUCAAUGUUUUAUGUGAUAACAGUUCAAAGGCUUGUGAGAUGAUUGUACCAAAGAUGAGUAUACAACUUCUAGAAAUGUUGACAUAUCACGUUUUCACCUUUCAACAAAAAAUGGAGAUAUUAAAAUCAUUGAAUAUUAUGCUGGAAUAUAGUACAUUUAUUGUGAAAGAGAAGUUGUUGACUAGAC
Long non-coding RNA from Patella vulgata (common limpet), 503 nucleotides. RefSeq lists it as uncharacterized. The record is from RefSeq and is a predicted model, not a curated record. The transcript is spliced from 6 exons. NCBI's taxonomy places the organism in Eukaryota, Metazoa, Mollusca, Gastropoda, Patellidae.